This 362-nucleotide ribosomal RNA is filed under the name uncultured bacterium. Its description in RNAcentral is "partial 16S ribosomal RNA". It matches the Rfam family "Bacterial small subunit ribosomal RNA", at positions 355 to 709 of the family's 1533-position model. The record is from RNAcentral.
UGGGGAAUAUUGCACAAUGGGCGCAAGCCUGAUGCAGCCAUGCCGCGUGUGUGAAGAAGGCCUUCGGGUUGUAAAGCACUUUCAGCGAGGAGGAAGGGUAGUGUGUUAAUAGCACAUUGCAUUGACGUUACUCGCAGAAGAAGCACCGGCUAACUCCGUGCCAGCAGCCGCGGUAAUACGGAGGGUGCAAGCGUUAAUCGGAAUUACUGGGCGUAAAGCGCACGCAGGCGGUUUGUUAAGGCAGAUGUGAAAUCCCCGCGCUUAACGUGGGAACUGCAUUUGAAACUGGCAAGCUAGAGUCUUGUAGAGGGGGGUAGAAUUCCAGGUGUAGCGGUGAAAUGCGUAGAGAUCUGGAGGAAUAC